UACGUAGGGGGCAAGCGUUGUCCGGAUUUAUUGGGCGUAAAGAGCGUGUAGGCGGCCUGGUAGGUCAGCUGUGAAAACUCGAGGCUCAACCUCGAGACGCCGGUUGAAACCAUCAGGCUAGAGUCCGGAAGAGGAGAGUGGAAUUCCCGGUGUAGCGGUGAAAUGCGUAGAGAUCAGGAAGAACACCGGUGGCGAAAGCGCUCUGCUAGGCCGCAACUGACACUGAGGGACGAAAGCUAGGGGAGCGAAUGGG
RNAcentral lists this ribosomal RNA (253 nucleotides) under uncultured bacterium. Its description in RNAcentral is "partial 16S ribosomal RNA". It matches the Rfam family "Bacterial small subunit ribosomal RNA", at positions 524 to 776 of the family's 1533-position model. The record is from RNAcentral.